Molecule: long non-coding RNA, 464 nt
Filed under: Mustela putorius furo (domestic ferret)
Lineage: Eukaryota; Metazoa; Chordata; Mammalia; Carnivora; Mustelidae
Description: lncRNA (ENSMPUG00000030665.1)
Source: RNAcentral
GCAAGACCUCUGAUCCUAUUAAAUGACACAUGGAGAAGCUUUGACAAAGACAGGGAGUUUUUGCUAAUCCUACAGCUGUGUGAGGGAGGCUCGAAAGGGUUAAAGUGGAAGGCUUAUACAAACUUUGCCUCUCAGCUUCUCUCUUAUCUCCUCCCUCUCCGCGGCACACAGGCACACACUGCGAAGGCAGAGCAAAGCUGAUUCACUACCUUUCCUGCAUACUCUAAACUGUUGCCUGCAGAAAGAGGACCUGGGGACUUAAGUGCUCAGACUGCUUGCAUUCAAGUGUUCCAGACGAUAUGCCAGAGGUGUUCCCGAACAAGUUGCCUGUCGGUGCAAGCUUCAAAAGAGAUACUUAAAUGGCCAACCCCAUUCAUCCCGUAAACCAGGAAAGUAUGCAAAUCUGUGUGGUUGAGGUCUGCAGUAGACUAAAAAGAUACUCCAACGUUAAAGAGGCAUCUCCC